Long non-coding RNA from Triticum aestivum (bread wheat), 1312 nucleotides. RefSeq lists it as uncharacterized. NCBI's taxonomy places the organism in Eukaryota, Viridiplantae, Streptophyta, Magnoliopsida, Poales, Poaceae. The transcript has 5 exons. The record is from RefSeq and is a predicted model, not a curated record.
UCCACGCCGCCUCCCCUGUCGAGCGCAACCCCUCCAUACCAUUGCCAGGCGGCGGCGGCGGCGACAAGGAGGAACGACACGCCGGCUUUGUCCCUUCGCGUCGAUGUGGGUCAGCGUCGCAGCGGCGCACACACCCUCCUCCUUCAUGGACUCGCUCCUGCAAGACCGGAGAGGCCUCUCGUAUGCCAGCUCCUCUAUGAGAAGUGAUUCAGUAAGAAGGAAACCCGCCACGUCCUCCCCUGACUACACCGCCGGCCUCCCGCAACCUACCCAGCCUGCGUCGCUGUCGAAGAAGGAACUCUGGGAUCUCAUUCAGGAUUCGGAGUUUGAGAUACUCGACAGCUAGAAAUAAUAAGAGAUCGUGGUUGAUCUCCUUCAUUUAUUUUCUUUCAUUACCCUACUACCCUUCACCUGGUUUGUAAACGGCGGCCUUACAGGUUGUGAAAGGUGCAGCUACUACGAGCUGGGCGUCCACACCUCUGAUCUUAUAGCACUCGAUGCAAAAGCUAACACAGGAAUUGUUAAUUACCACCGCCAUUGUUGUUUCGCCUCUGACCUGAAGUUGCAUGUAUUUAUAUCCAAGAUGGGACCAUCACCAUUCUAACACAAGCCUUGACCCCCUUUUUCCCUGUCAACGGCAUCGAUACCAGCAACCAACAGUUGGGUCGGCGGCAGAUUCAUGGUCGGUACAGCUACUGCCAUCUACAUCACCAUGCUCUGCUGUUUGGUGGUAGUGGAUUCGGGCAUGAAGAUGCAUUGGCAUGUACGAAUUUUGAUGCUUGGUUUGUAAGAACUGUGCAUGCUGGCUAUUCAAUUGUCUCCACACUACAGGAUCUAAACCAGUGGGCUUUAUCAUUUCUGUUAAAUCCUCUUACGGAUUAGCAUUUAUGUAGAUGCUCACGGUAAGCAUUGUACGAGCUGUUGAAGAAAUCAACAAUGGUGUGAUACAUGGAGGGAUGGUUAACAAGGAAGAAUUCCGGCUGGCGCUUUUCAAUAUUAGUAAGACCGAGAGUUUGUUUGCUGAACGUGACCUCCGAGAUAAAGAACACACCGUUUAACAUUCUGUAGGAGUCAUUUGCAGUGGACAAGAAGAAUCAUUGUACUCAACAAUCAGCAUUUUUUUCCUGUCAGUGAGGAGCAUAGCAUGGACUUACUAUAGUAGGUGUCAUUAACCUGCAUAGUCCAUCGUUGCAACUGAUGUUCUUGUGAAGCUUACCGUAGAUUAUAUGUUUCAGUUGAACAACUUGAAGUGGCUGGUGCAACCAAAAGGACUACAUUGAUCUCUGUGCGACCAUCAAAGACAUCCAGGUAC